RNAcentral lists this ribosomal RNA (207 nucleotides) under uncultured bacterium. RNAcentral's name for it is "partial 16S ribosomal RNA". It matches the Rfam family "Bacterial small subunit ribosomal RNA", at positions 568 to 774 of the family's 1533-position model. The record is from RNAcentral.
CAUGUAGGCGGUUGUUUAAGUCUGAUGUGAAGGCCCUGGGCUCAACCCAGGAAGUGCAUUGGAUACUGGGCAACUUGAGUACGGGAGAGGAAAGUGGAAUUUCGAGUGUAGGGGUGAAAUCCGUAGAUAUUCGAAGGAACACCAGUGGCGAAGGCGGCUUUCUGGACCGAUACUGACGCUGAGAUGCGAAAGCGUGGGGAGCAAACA